Molecule: long non-coding RNA, 993 nt
Filed under: Rattus norvegicus (Norway rat)
Lineage: Eukaryota; Metazoa; Chordata; Mammalia; Rodentia; Muridae
Description: long non-coding RNA NONRATT004705
Source: RNAcentral
UCUAUUUCCUUCUUGCUGGCCAGUUGGCCUCUCUGUGGACCGACUGUCUUUCAGCAUUACCUCCUCAGUGCAGGAGGACUUUAGCGACACCACUUUGGCUCCUGGCAGGUCACACUUGCGCACCUGCCCAGGAGCUGCCUGGACUCUUGAAUGAGAGACAGACACACACAUGAGCCUGUGCCAGUUAAUUUCAAUAUGCCUUGACUCACUCAAAGGCUGGGCAGUUCUAAUCCUCCACCCAGCUAGCAUGCAUUUCCCUCCAGUAUUCCUGGCUCCUAAGCCUUCCCCUGCUACCUCAGGCCCAAUCGGGGAAGUGGCCAGUGGCCAUUUACUCCAAUUCUUACUGAUUGGCUGAUUGGCUUUCUCUCCUUCCCAUGGUGAUUCUCCUUCCUUCCUCCCAGUUCCUAGCUGGAGCAAAUCUAAAGGCCUCAGUGUACCUAGCCGAAGCAAAUCUAAACGUCCCGCCUCAGUGUACCUGACCAGCCAUUGGCCACUGUCUCUUUAUUGGUUGACCCAAAACCAAUUGGGGACAAGAACCCCAUUUGGACCUGCAGAUUCCAGAUUCAGGGGCUGGAUCAAUUCAAAGCAUUAGAACCAAUCCCCAACACCUAGGGAUGGUUAGGAACCGUAGUCUAGGAUGUUCCGGCUGAAAGAUCCUUCUUAAUUCCAACCCGAUACCUCUUUCUCCUUCACCGUUUGUAGCCCAGUCGUCCUCCGUCUUCAUAAGCAUGGAAGAGGACUUCAUGAAGCCUGUCAUCGACAUCGUGGAUACGUUGCUGGAACUCGGGGUCAAUGUGACUGUGUACAAUGGGCAGCUGGAUCUCAUUGUGGACACCAUAGGUUCCUGCUGACCAAGGGGACAUGGCUCUGAAGAUGAUGAGGCUGGUUACUCAGCAGGAGUAGCUGAGCUGAGCUGGCCCUGGAGGCCCUGGAGGCCCUGGAGUAGGGCCCAGGAUGCAGGUGCUAAUGUCUAUCCCCGGCGCUCUUCUUCCC